AGUGCACAUGGUUAGAGCUUGGAAUUGAGGUCACUGAGUGGCCAGUGAGCUCACACAUGUAGGGAGUGUGUGACACAAGGAGCAGGUUUUUUUUUUUUUGUCAACACUCACAGAGACCUUUGACACAGUGAGUGGAACUUGUUAGCAAUCCUUUGCUUACGAG
Small nucleolar RNA from Ochotona princeps (American pika), 163 nucleotides. The record is from Ensembl. Lineage: Eukaryota; Metazoa; Chordata; Mammalia; Lagomorpha; Ochotonidae.